RNAcentral lists this ribosomal RNA (205 nucleotides) under uncultured bacterium. Its description in RNAcentral is "partial 16S ribosomal RNA". It matches the Rfam family "Bacterial small subunit ribosomal RNA", at positions 338 to 536 of the family's 1533-position model. The record is from RNAcentral.
CCUACGGGAGGCAGCAGUAGGGAAUCUUCGGCAAUGGGGGCAACCCUGACCGAGCAACACCGCGUGAGUGAAGAAGGUUUUCGGAUCGUAAAGCUCUGUUGUAAGAGAAGAUCGUGUGUGAGAGUGGAAAGUUCACACAGUGACGGUAACUUACCAAAAAGGGACGGCUAACUACGUGCCAGCAGCCGCGGUAAUAAUCGUCCAC